GAUGAACGCUGGCGGCGUGCCUAAUACAUGCAAGUCGAGCGAACAGACGAGUAGCUUGCCUCUCUGAUGUUAGCGGCGGACGGGUGAGUAACACGUGGAUAACCUACCUAUAAGACUGGGAUAACUUCGGGAAACCGGAGCUAAUACCGGAUAACAUGUUGAACCGCAUGGUUCCACAGUGAAAGACGGUCUUGCUGUCACUUAUAGAUGGAUCCGCGCCACAUUAGCUAGUUGGUAAAGUAACGGCUUACCAAGUCAACGAUGCGUAGCCGACCUGAGAGGGUGAUCGGCCACACUGGAACUGAGACACGGUCCAGACUCCUACGGGAGGCAGCAGUAGGGAAUCUUCCGCAAUGGGCGAAAGCCUGACGGAGCAACGCCGCGUGAGUGAAGAAGGUCUUCGGAUCGUAAAACUCUGUUAUUAGGGAAGAACAGAUGUGUAAGUAACUAUGCACGUCUUGACGGUACCUAAUCAGAAAGCCACGGCUAACUACGUG
Molecule: ribosomal RNA, 497 nt
Filed under: uncultured bacterium
Lineage: Bacteria
Description: partial 16S ribosomal RNA
Rfam family: Bacterial small subunit ribosomal RNA
Source: RNAcentral